This 329-nucleotide unclassified non-coding RNA is filed under the name soil metagenome. RNAcentral's name for it is "partial contains 5.8S ribosomal RNA, internal transcribed spacer 2, and large subunit ribosomal RNA". The stretch from base 1 to 121 matches the Rfam family "5.8S ribosomal RNA", at positions 35 to 154 of the family's 154-position model. The record is from RNAcentral.
GAUGAAGGAACGUAGCGAAAUGCGAUAAGUAAUGUGAAUUGCAGAAUUCAGUGAAUCAUCGAAUCUUUGAACGCACAUUGCGCCCCCUGGUAUUCCGGGGGGCAUGCCUGUCCGAGCGUCAUUACAACCCUCAAGCUCAGCUUGGUGUUGGGCCCCGCCGCCCCGGCGGGCCCUAAAGUCAGUGGCGGUGCCGUCCGGCUCCGAGCGUAGUAAUUCUUCUCGCUCUGGAGGUCCGGUCGUGUGCUCGCCAGCAACCCCCAAUUUUUUUCAGGUUGACCUCGGAUCAGGUAGGGAUACCCGCUGAACUUAAGCAUAUCAAUAAGCGGGGA